UAUUAGUAGAGAAGCGUGUGAGCCAGCUGCCAAGAAAAGCCGCUAUUGUUUCAUAAGUACCCGUACCGUAAACCGACACAGGUGGAUGAGGAGAGAAUCCUAAGGCCGGCGGGAGAAGUGUUGUUAAGGAACUCGGCAAAAUGACUCCGUAACUUCGGGAGAAGGAGUGCCACAGAGAUGUGGCCGCAGAGAAAUGGCCCAAGCAACUGUUUAGCAAAAACACAGGUCUAUGCAAAACCGAAAGGUGAGGUAUAUGGGCUGACGCCUGCCCGGUGCUGGAAGGUUAAGAGGAGAGGUUAGAGCAAUCGAAGCUUUGAAUUUAAGCCCCAGUAAACGGCGGCCGUAACAAUAACGGUCCUAAGGUAGCGAAAUUCCUUGUCGGGUAAGUUCCGACCCGCACGAAAGGCGUAAUGAUUUGGGCACUGUCUCAACAACACACCCGGUGAAAUUGAAAUACCAGUGAAGAUGCUGGUUACCUGCGCCAGGACGGAAAGACCCCAUGGAGCUUUACUCCAGUUUGAUACUGGGAUUCGGUACUGUCUGUACAGGAUAGGUGGGAGGCUAGGAAAUGGUGACGCCAGUUGCCAUGGAGCCAACCUUGGGAUACCACCCUUACAGUACUGGGUUUCUAACCUGCAGCCGUAACCCGGCUGGGGGACAAUGUCUGACGGGGAGUUUGACUGGGGCGGUCGCCUCCGAAAGAGUAUCGGAGGCGCUCAAAGGUUCCCUCAGAACGGUUGGAAACCGUUCGAAGAGUGCAAAGGCAGAAGGGAGCUUGACUGCGACACCGACGGGUGGAGCAGAUACGAAAGUAGGACUUAGUGAUCCGGUGGUAUAAAGUGGGAUUGCCAUCGCUCAACGGAUAAAAGCUACCCUGGGAUAACAGGCUUAUCACUCCCAAGAGUUCACAUCGACGGAGUGGUUUGGCACCUCGAUGUCGGCUCAUCGCAUCCUGGAGCUGUAGCAGGUUCCAAGGGUUGGGCUGUUCGCCCAUUAAAGCGGUACGCGAGCUGGGUUCAGAACGUCGUGAGACAGUUCGGUCCCUAUCCGGCGUGGGCGUAGGAUAUUUGAGAGGAGCUGUCCUUAGUACGAGAGGACCGGGAUGGACAAACCUCUGGUGUAUCUGUUGUUUUACCAAAGGCAUGGCAGAGUAGCCAAGUUUGGCAGGGAUAAACGCUGAAGGCAUCUAAGCGUGAAGCCCCCCUCAAGAUAAGAUAUCCCAUCUUCGGAGUAAGACCCCUUGAAGACUACAAGGUUGAUAGGCUUCAGGUGUAAGUGUGGUAACGCACUCAGCUGAGAAGUACUAAUAGGUCGAGGACUUACCAA
This 1326-nucleotide ribosomal RNA is filed under the name metagenome. RNAcentral's name for it is "bacterial LSU rRNA". It matches the Rfam family "Bacterial large subunit ribosomal RNA", at positions 1577 to 2925 of the family's 2925-position model. The record is from RNAcentral.